Molecule: long non-coding RNA, 853 nt
Filed under: Oryctolagus cuniculus (rabbit)
Lineage: Eukaryota; Metazoa; Chordata; Mammalia; Lagomorpha; Leporidae
Description: lncRNA (ENSOCUG00000034191.1)
Source: RNAcentral
CAUACUUGGAAGUCAUUUUUCCUACACUGUUUGUAAGGUAGGCUGUCUUCUAUGACACUAGUACUGAGCCCUUGCUCUGUGCCAUGCAAUGCUGUGAAGGACUUGAAAGUGAAUUAUAUAUGUGAUGUGUGGGAGUACUUGUGCAAUGAUAACAAAUAAGAUUAACCUGGGGUCUUGAGACAUGGUCUAGUAAGGCUUCCUGAAAUAGAAAUGUUAAGGAUUGACUAAUUCUGAGAAAGAGGUAAAGGAACUGAGGUAGUUUAUGGUGCAAAGUUCACUUGUGAGAAAGAGCCAAAGUGUAGCAGAACAGAGUGACCUGGGGGACUGUAAGUGGUUGGAUACAGCUGGGGAGAAGAGCCUGAAGCAGAGUAGCAUGCAGCUGAACUUCUUGUGAGACAGAAAAGAAGGCCUUCUACUAUGGUUUCAAUGUGGUGUGGGUGUCCCCUAAAGGUUCAUGUACUGGAUGCUUGAUCCUCAGUGUGGCAGUGUUGGCCAAAUGGAAUCUUGAAGAGUGGGGGUCCCUCAUAAGAAGCCAAACAGAGGGGAUCAUCAAAUCUUGGACUUUCAGUCACCAAAACUGUCCUGCCUGAACUCCAUGGACUUCUAGCAGGAGGAGUACAAUCAUCCCUAGACACAGCGCCAAUUGCUUACUCAACACCAUCUUGCCUUUCAUUUCCAGCCAUCAGUUUUGUGAAUGAGGGAGAAGAAUCACUCAUGUCAGGAGCUGUUGCCACUUAUAUGGAAACUCUUGGUUGGGAACACCAGUCAGCAGUAGAAGAUGGAGAUCAGAGUUGGAGUCACUCACGGUUAGAAUCCUCCCUUGGGCUAUAGAAGAGAGCCAGUGGCAAUUCUG